GUGCCAGCCGCCGCGGUAAUACGGAGGGUCCGAGCGUUAAUCGGAAUUACUGGGCGUAAAGCGUGCGCAGGCGGUUUGUUAAGCGAGAUGUGAAAGCCCUGGGCUCAACCUAGGAAUAGCAUUUCGAACUGGCGAACUAGAGUCUUAUAGAGGGGGGUAGAAUUCCAGGUGUAGCGGUGAAAUGCGUAGAGAUCUGGAGGAAUACCGGUGGCGAAGGCGGCCCCCUGGACAAAGACUGACGCUCAUGCACGAAAGCGUGGGGAGCAAACAGGAUUAGAAACCCGGGUAGUCC
This 292-nucleotide ribosomal RNA is filed under the name uncultured prokaryote. RNAcentral describes it as "partial 16S ribosomal RNA". It matches the Rfam family "Bacterial small subunit ribosomal RNA", at positions 505 to 796 of the family's 1533-position model. The record is from RNAcentral.